CGGUUUGAUCAGUCUUCCGGGAAAUCUGACAGCUCAACUGUUAGGCUUCUGGGGGAUACUGUCAGACUUGGAACCGGGAGAGGUAAGAGGUACUACAGGGGUAGGAGUGAAAUCCUGUAAUCCUUGUGGGACCACCAGUGGCGAAGGCGUCUUACCAGAACGGGUUCGACGGUGAGGGACGAAAGCUGGGGGCACGAACCGGAUUAGAUACCCGGGUAGUCCCAGCCGUAAACGAUGCUCGCUAGGUGUCUGGGAUGGUGCGACCGUUUCAGGUGCCGCAGGGAAGCCGUGAAGCGAGCCACCUGGGAAGUACGGCCGCAAGGCUGAAACUUAAAGGAAUUGGCGGGGGAGCACUACAACGGGUGGAGCCUGCGGUUUAAUUGGACUCAACGCCGGAAAACUCACCUGGGGCGACAGCAAUAUGUAGGUCAGGCUGAAGGUCUUACCUGAAUCGCUGAGAGGAGGUGCAUGGCCGUCGUCAGUUCGUACUGUGAAGCAUCCUGUUAAGUCAGGCAACGAGCGAGACCCGUGCCCACUGUUGCCAGCAUAUCCUUCGGGAUGAUGGGUACUCUGUGGGGACCGCCGCUGCUAAAGCGGAGGAAGGUGCGGGCUACGGUAGG
This 620-nucleotide ribosomal RNA is filed under the name uncultured Methanolobus sp. RNAcentral's name for it is "bacterial SSU rRNA". It matches the Rfam family "Archaeal small subunit ribosomal RNA", at positions 526 to 1145 of the family's 1478-position model. Lineage: Archaea; Methanobacteriati; Methanobacteriota; Methanomicrobia; Methanosarcinales; Methanosarcinaceae. The record is from RNAcentral.